This 435-nucleotide ribosomal RNA is filed under the name uncultured bacterium. RNAcentral describes it as "bacterial SSU rRNA". It matches the Rfam family "Bacterial small subunit ribosomal RNA", at positions 25 to 507 of the family's 1533-position model. The record is from RNAcentral.
CAGAACGAACGCUGGCGGCAUGCCUAACACAUGCAAGUCGAACGAACCCUUCGGGGUUAGUGGCGCACGGGUGCGUAACGCGUGGGAUCUGCCCAAAGGUUCGGAAUAACUCAGAGAAAUUUGAGCUAAUACCAGAUAAUGUCUUCGGACCAAAGAUUUAUUGCCUUUGGAUGAACCCGCGUAGGAUUAGCUUGUUGGUGGGGUAAAAGCCUACCAAGGCGACGAUCCUUAGCUGGUCUGAGAGGAUGAUCAGCCACACUGGGACUGAGACACGGCCCAGACUCCUACGGGAGGCAGCAGUGGGGAAUAUUGGACAAUGGGCGAAAGCCUGAUCCAGCAAUGCCGCGUGAGUGAUGAAGGCCUUAGGGUUGUAAAGCUCUUUUACCAGGGAUGAUAAUGACAGUACCUGGAGAAUAAGCUCCGGCUAACUCCGUG